AUGGAUCCCAUGCAUGUGCCUACCAGCAUGGUCAAUAGAAUGAGACAAGAGGAGAGAAUCCAUGUUUCAAAUGUCACAAACCCUGGUCCAUUGCCAGAAAUGUCAAGAUUUGUAGCUAAUGCUAGGGAAUCCAUUCCUGAGAGAAGAUCAACUACCACUACUACAACCAGGGGAAGGCUCAGGGGAAAAGGAAAAGCAAGGGCUCUAGAUCAGGGAGAAAUCAGUUGUACUGCAGGGAGAGGGAAAACUAAGAAAGUUAAAAGUGGGGAAGCAAUGCUUCAAGAGGUGGUGGAAGAGGGGGAAACAAUGCUGCAAUAA
Molecule: ribosomal RNA, 318 nt
Filed under: Triticum aestivum (bread wheat)
Lineage: Eukaryota; Viridiplantae; Streptophyta; Magnoliopsida; Poales; Poaceae
Description: partial small subunit ribosomal RNA
Source: RNAcentral